GGGGGCGACACGGUUUCGACGGGGAUACGGAAGCUUAGGCUGCAUACCGAGCUCCUAUCGCUCGUAAAAAGGUAGGACUUUAAAAUAAUCGCAGAUGAUUAUGAAUAUGCUUUAGCCGCAUAACAGGCUAACGUCCUUCCAGAUUAUUCCUGCGCAUCUGGAAAGGGCGACGACUAGCAGGAUAGCCUUUUCCGGUUGCUUGUUACGGAUAAGGCGAAACCUUUAACAAGAUAGCCUCUUUUGAAUCCCGCCUGAAGGAGCCAUAAGAGGCGAAUGUCAAAAUUCAGGCUAAGUAUGUAGAUGCCUAUGCGGAGUAUUGCCGGACGCGGGUUCGAUUCCCGCCGCCUCCACCA
This 353-nucleotide transfer-messenger RNA is filed under the name Desulfobacterales bacterium. It matches the Rfam family "transfer-messenger RNA". From Rfam's summary of the family: Bacterial tmRNA, also known as 10Sa RNA or SsrA, is named for its dual tRNA and mRNA-like properties. Its role is to liberate the mRNA from a stalled ribosome. Lineage: Bacteria; Pseudomonadati; Thermodesulfobacteriota; Desulfobacteria; Desulfobacterales. The record is from RNAcentral. RNAcentral also lists the same sequence under 2 other names.